This 217-nucleotide non-coding RNA is filed under the name Bacteroides sp. The record is from RNAcentral. Lineage: Bacteria; Pseudomonadati; Bacteroidota; Bacteroidia; Bacteroidales; Bacteroidaceae.
AUCUUUGCCGCCGAUUUUGGUAUCGCAGCCCCACCCGCUUCGGAGGCCGCGAUGAAAAGGGAACCAGGUGAAAGUCCUGGACAGACCCGCUGCUGUGAGUCCCCGCCAUGAAGAAUCCUUGGAAAACCCCAAGCCACUGUCCCCUACCAACGGAGGGAUGGGAAGGCAUCCAGGGAUUGGGACAAGUCAGAAGACCUGCCAGAAUCUGCCAACGUUU